This 588-nucleotide ribosomal RNA is filed under the name Triticum aestivum (bread wheat). RNAcentral describes it as "partial small subunit ribosomal RNA". Lineage: Eukaryota; Viridiplantae; Streptophyta; Magnoliopsida; Poales; Poaceae. The record is from RNAcentral.
AUGUCGCUCCUACUGAACCACCCGGCGGCGCUGAAGAAGGCACAGGCCGAGAUCGACGCGUCCAUCGGGACCUCCCGCAUGGUCACCGCUGACAACGUGCCCCGCCUCAGCUACCUCCAGUGCAUCAUCAAUGAGACGCUACGCCUGUACCCGGCGGCGCCGCUGCUGCUGCCGCACGAGUCCUCCAUCGACUGCAAGGUCGGCGGCUACGAGGUGCCGAGCGGCACCAUGCUGAUCGUGAACGCGUACGCCCUCCACAGGGACCCGGCUGUAUGGGAGGACCCGACGGUGUUCCGCCCGGAGCGGUUCAAGGACGGCAAGGGCGAUGGGCUGCUGCUGAUGCCCUUCGGGAUGGGGCGGCGGAGGUGCCCCGGCGAGGCGCUGGCGCUGCAGACGGUCGGGGUGGUUCUUGGGACGCUGGUGCAGUGCUUUGACUGGGACCGGGUGGACGGCGUGGAGGUGGACAUGACGGAGGGGGUGGGGAUCACCAUGCCCAAGGCCGUGGCUUUGGAGGCCGUGUGUAGGCCACGCGCGGCCAUGCGUGAUGUUCUUCAGAUCAAACUUCUUGGCAUCUCAUAUGUACAGUAG